UACACUCCUACGGGAGGCAGCAGUGGGGAAUUUUGGACAAUGGGCGCAAGCCUGAUCCAGCCAUGCCGCGUGCGGGAAGAAAGCCUUCGGGUUGUAAACCGCUUUUGUCAGGGAAGAAAAGGUUCUGGCUAAUACCUGGGACUCAUGACGGUACCUGAAGAAUAAGCACCGGCUAACUACGUGCCAGCAGCCGCGGUAAUACGUAGGGUGCAAGCGUUAAUCGGAAUUACUGGGCGUAAAGCGUGCGCAGGCGGUUAUGCAAGACAGAGGUGAAAUCCCCGGGCUCAACCUGGGAACUGCCUUUGUGACUGCAUGGCUAGAGUACGGUAGAGGGGGAUGGAAUUCCGCGUGUAGCAGUGAAAUGCGUAGAUAUGCGGAGGAACACCGAUGGCGAAGGCAAUCCCCUGGACCUGUACUGACGCUCAUGCACGAAAGCGUGGGGAGCAAACAGGAUUAGAAACCCUAGUAGUCCCA
This 474-nucleotide ribosomal RNA is filed under the name uncultured organism. RNAcentral describes it as "partial 16S ribosomal RNA". It matches the Rfam family "Bacterial small subunit ribosomal RNA", at positions 332 to 797 of the family's 1533-position model. The record is from RNAcentral.